Molecule: unclassified non-coding RNA, 323 nt
Filed under: uncultured fungus
Lineage: Eukaryota; Fungi
Description: sequence contains ITS2
Source: RNAcentral
AACGCAUAUUGCACUCUCUGGUAUUCCGGGGAGUAUGCCUGUUUCAGCAUCAUCAAGACCCUCGAAUCCAAAUUUCUUGGAAUCGGAUUUGGGCUCAUGUGGAGAAGUAAUUCCCGCUAGCCUGAAAUCGAAUCUCGCUUCGUGUUACCUUUGCAAGGACCCCUCCCCCAAGGCGUCAUAGUUGGCUUUGCCAUCUUUCGCUGAUUUUGGGAGUGGUGCGCGUCGCGUGGACUUUAUUCUUAAGUGUUUGAGAUUUCUUCUCGCACAAGAAUUUUUUUUUGAAAUUUGAUCUGAAAUCAGGUAGGAUUACCCGCUGAACUUAA